This 466-nucleotide ribosomal RNA is filed under the name uncultured bacterium. Its description in RNAcentral is "partial 16S ribosomal RNA". It matches the Rfam family "Bacterial small subunit ribosomal RNA", at positions 28 to 507 of the family's 1533-position model. The record is from RNAcentral.
GAUGAACGCUGGCGGCGUGCUUAACACAUGCGAGUCGAACGAUGAAGCCCAGCUUGCCGGGUGGAUUAGUGGCGAACGGGUGAGUAACACGUGAGUAACCUGCCCUUAACUCUGGGAUAAGCCUGGGAAACUGGGUCUAAUACCGGAUAGGAGCGUCCACCGCAUGGUGGGUGUUGGAAAGAUUUAUCGGUUUUGGAUGGACUCGCGGCCUAUCAGCUUGUUGGUGAGGUAAUGGCUCACCAAGGCGACGACGGGUAGCCGGCCUGAGAGGGUGACCGGCCACACUGGGACUGAGACACGGCCCAGACUCCUACGGGAGGCAGCAGUGGGGAAUAUUGCACAAUGGGCGCAAGCCUGAUGCAGCGACGCCGCGUGAGGGAUGACGGCCUUCGGGUUGUAAACCUCUUUCAGUAGGGAAGAAGCGAAAGUGACGGUACCUGCAGAAGAAGCACCGGCUAACUACGUG